Long non-coding RNA from Gorilla gorilla gorilla (western lowland gorilla), 837 nucleotides. RefSeq lists it as uncharacterized. NCBI's taxonomy places the organism in Eukaryota, Metazoa, Chordata, Mammalia, Primates, Hominidae. The transcript has 4 exons. The record is from RefSeq and is a predicted model, not a curated record.
ACAGCCAGAGGAGAGCUGCCUGUGAACCAAGAAGCAGGCCCUCACCAGACACUGAGUCUGCCAGCACCUGGAUCUUGGACUUCCAGCCUCCAGAAAUGCUAGGAAGACCCAGUUGAGGCAGCGGACACUAGAGCAGCCUGGAAGGGGGUACCUGCCUACGAAGCCCCUAGGAGCAUGAGGUGUUUCCUCCCACAGCUUCCUGUCCUGCCCAGGGCUCAGAGGACAAGACUGGCAGAAGGACAACCAGCAAUGCUGAGGGACUGUGGCUCAAGGCACUGAUGUCAUUGUCUUGGGUUGCAGUUCUCUUUUUUUGAAGCAAUCUAACUCUGUCACCUAGGCUGGAGUGCAGUGGAGCAAUUGCGGCUCACUGCAGCCUCAACUUCCUGGGCUCAAGCAAUCCUCCCACCUCAGCCUCAUGAGUAGCUUGGACUACAGUGCCCGAGGGGCAAAACUGCAGCAGAGUGGCUCCUGUAUCCUCAGCACUCAACAUGGACCCUGUUGUUGGUGUUCAAGAAACAUUUGAGGAGCUGCACUUACUUGGAAUGAGAAAAAGUUACACCCAUGACCUCCAGGUAAAGCAGACAGCAAAUGGCGUAAGUGAAGGGCCCUGCAGCAGCCACAGACACAGGCCUGGGGAAAUAGAGGAUCCCAGAUGGAAGAGCUGCCACUUACUGGGCACCGCCAUGUGCCAAACCCAACACCGUGUGCACUCCGUAGACUCUCAUUGAAUCCUUAAAUCCUUCCGUGGUAUGGAUUAUUAUCUCCAUUUUACUAAUGAGGCCAUUAAAGCUCAGAAGAUUAAGUAACGUGACCAGUAUAAAGUACAAGAAAAUGACA